GGGGUGGUAGUUUAAAUAUACCCAGAACACUGGAUUGUCAUUCCAUAGGUGGGUUUUCCCCACCCUU
RNAcentral lists this transfer RNA (67 nucleotides) under Graffilla buccinicola. RNAcentral describes it as "tRNA-Asp". The record is from RNAcentral. Lineage: Eukaryota; Metazoa; Platyhelminthes; Rhabdocoela; Graffillidae.